CAUCCAGACAAAGUUACAAGGCACUUACUAAUGUAUUGUGAUUGUCCAUAUUGCCUCCUUUGCUGGCUGGAUUCAUUUUUCCAUCCCAUUAUACUCUGCUCUUUUCCAUGGUCAUGACCACCCUGCAUUUCACCAUUGGAGGUCGUGCUUGCACACUAUAGG
Bufo bufo (common toad) is the source of this 162-nucleotide long non-coding RNA. RefSeq lists it as uncharacterized. The transcript is spliced from 3 exons. The record is from RefSeq and is a predicted model, not a curated record. NCBI's taxonomy places the organism in Eukaryota, Metazoa, Chordata, Amphibia, Anura, Bufonidae.